This 455-nucleotide ribosomal RNA is filed under the name uncultured Rikenellaceae bacterium. Its description in RNAcentral is "bacterial SSU rRNA". It matches the Rfam family "Bacterial small subunit ribosomal RNA", at positions 930 to 1382 of the family's 1533-position model. Lineage: Bacteria; Pseudomonadati; Bacteroidota; Bacteroidia; Bacteroidales; Rikenellaceae. The record is from RNAcentral.
CGGAGGAACGAUGUGGUUUAAUUUCGAUGAUACGCGAGGAACCGUUACCUGGGCUAGAACGCAUUCGGAAUCAGGCCGAAAGGCCUGCGCCAGCGAUGGCCGCUUGCGAGGUGCUGCAUGGUUGUCGUCAGCUCGUGCCGUGAGGUGUCGGGUUAAGUCCCAUAACGAGCGCAACCCCUACUGCUAGUUGCCAGCGGGUCAUGCCGGGGACUCUAGCGGAACUGCCAGCGUAAGCUGCGAGGAAGGUGGGGAUGACGUCAAAUCAGCACGGCCCUUACGUCCAGGGCUACACACGUGUUACAAUGGCCGGUACAGAGGGCAGCCACCCCGCGAGGGGGCGCGAAUCCCGAAAGCCGGUCCCAGUUCGGAUCGGAGUCUGCAACCCGACUCCGUGAAGCUGGAUUCGCUAGUAAUCGCGCAUCAGCCACGGCGCGGUGAAUACGUUCCCGGGCCUU